Molecule: long non-coding RNA, 1053 nt
Organism: Mauremys reevesii (Reeves's turtle)
Lineage: Eukaryota; Metazoa; Chordata; Testudines; Geoemydidae
Exons: 7
Source: RefSeq, a predicted model, not a curated record
CAGAUGCAGCAGGAGACAGCAGUGUGGUUGAAUCUCUGUAGGUUUAACUCGUGAAUCAAAAUCCGCAGGGACAUCUUUGCUGGCUCAGGCCAGACAGUGUGCAGGGUACUUUUCAAGCCAGUCGCUGAGCAAAGGUAUUUAGGAAAAUAAAGCGGCAGCCUGUGGGCCAAGCUUCUGCCUAACGGGAACUGGAGUGGUGGAGAUGUUAAUCCCAGAAAAAAAGGACUUUCUAGUGAAAACCCUCGGGGACGCUUCAAUCAAGGGGAAAAUCAGGAGUAAAUCUAUUGAAGUCAAUGGAAUUACACUGGUGUAAGCAUGAAGGCCUUUUGGUCCCAGGAAGCUGGACAGUAGGCCAGAGUUGCAGCCCUACUAAAUACCCAAGCAGUGUUUUGAAGCGAGCAGGGGAGUGGCUGCAUUUUAGGUGUGGUCCCCGAGCCAGCUGGAUAAACUACCAGCGGCAGCCUCAGGAAGUGGCUCUUUGCUGGAGAAUGGGAGAGGGCUUAGCACCCUUUCCACCUGUACACCGGCUUCGGGUCUACUUGGAAACUCCCCACGAGGACACCAGAGGAGAGAGAAAACCAGCCUCCAAAGAUGCCAGAAGAGGUCACUGAUCCUUCCCUGCAAGAAGACAACACCAGAGCAAUGAUACUUUGAACUUCUUUCAGCCGAAGAUCUCCAAGUGAUUUUCAGAUAUUCAUUAAAUAAGCUUCACAUCACCCCAGAGGAAUUUUAUGAGACCCUUGAAGGCAUAAUUCUGUCUCUUUUCUGCAUAUUUUAUUUUUCACCAAAACUGCAAGAGGACAGGAUAUUUAGCAGAAUAACUUUGAUGUCUGGGUAGGGAACAGAGAAGAUUUGGUCUUGCGCCAAAUGAAGGGAACACAAAGGAAUGAAAAGAAUCCAGUGUAUUGCAGCACUAUAUUACUUUCUAUGUUUGAAAGAGCACUUUGACUGAAGUGCCAGUCCUACAAAUGCUGUGAGCUUACUACACAAUUUUGUUUAUGCUCUUAAAAAACCCCAGAUUUUCAAAAGAGCUCAGCUCCCAUCUACAGUAUU